CGUGAAUUUCAUCAAGUGGGAAAUACAAGACAAUAAUAUACACAGUUAACAUCAUAUUCAUUUAUGACAUCGUAACAGAAUGUGUGCCAACGAAAACUUGCAUUGGUGGUCUCAGUGAGAGUUUCAGUUCUGACCGUUCACAAACCAGUAUGUUCACUGGUUAAACCGCACUCGGUUGUGUAAAACAUGCAAUAACAUUAGAU
Molecule: long non-coding RNA, 203 nt
Filed under: Mytilus galloprovincialis (Mediterranean mussel)
Lineage: Eukaryota; Metazoa; Mollusca; Bivalvia; Mytilida; Mytilidae
Source: RNAcentral